GAUGAACGCUGGCGGCGUGCCUAAUACAUGCAAGUCGAGCGAACGGACGAGAAGCUUGCUUUUCUGAUGUUAGCGGCGGACGGGUGAGUAACACGUGGAUAACCUACCUAUAAGACUGGGAUAACUUCGGGAAACCGGAGCUAAUACCGGAUAAUAUUUUGAACCGCAUGGUUCAAAAGUUAAAGACGGUCUUGCUGUCACUUAUAGAUGGAUCCGCGCUGCAUUAGCUAGUUGGUAAGGUAACGGCUUACCAAGGCAACGAUGCAUAGCCGACCUGAGAGGGGGAUCGGCCAAACUGGAACUGAGACACGGUCCAGACUCCUAAGGGAGGCAGCAGUAGGGAAUAUUCCGCAAUGGGCGAAAGCCUGACGGAGCAACGCCGCGUGAGUGAUGAAGGUCUUCGGAUCGUAAAACUCUGUUAUUAGGGAAGAACAUAUGUGUAAGUAAAUGUGCACAUCUUGACGGUAACUAAUCAGAAAGCAACGGCUAACUACGUG
Molecule: ribosomal RNA, 497 nt
Filed under: uncultured bacterium
Lineage: Bacteria
Description: partial 16S ribosomal RNA
Rfam family: Bacterial small subunit ribosomal RNA
Source: RNAcentral